This 797-nucleotide long non-coding RNA is filed under the name Monodelphis domestica (gray short-tailed opossum). RNAcentral describes it as "lncRNA (ENSMODG00000044692.1)". The record is from RNAcentral. Lineage: Eukaryota; Metazoa; Chordata; Mammalia; Didelphimorphia; Didelphidae.
CUCUUAACUUGCAUCACAUGCACACACCCACACACACCCUGUUUAAACAUUCAUCUUCACUCUGGUCUGCUGAUCCUACCUUCACACAGCUGCCAGAAUCUUCCUCAAGCACAAUCUAAGCAUAUUGACUUCUGGACUCAAAAAACUCCAAGGAUUAUCAGAUGACACCCAUGCCACGGCAAGAAGAAAAACUCACAUUCUACAAAGCACAAUGGGAGAAACAGACAUCUUAGAGCAGUGAACGAACUCCAGAAAUACUUCCAUGGACGGAGAAAAAAGGGAAAUAGGAAGAAAGAAAAAAACCAAGAACACCGAAAAUAGCGAUGCCGUAAGUUUGGAGAACACUCACACCGUUAUGCCGUUUGUUCCGUACAGUAACCCCCGACGAUCAUUACAGGGGAGACACUCAUUUGGAAAAGGAGGAAGCCAAAUUUCAGGGAGGGCGAGCGAUGUGCCCAAUACCAACCAGUUUGACAGUGGCAGAACUGUGGCUCCUGAUGGCAGGUCGGGGUUCUUUUUGCCACACCACUUUUCUGCCUUUCUGUGUCUUCUCCUUCUUGUCAUAUUGAUACGAAGAGUGAAAUGGUAACUACAGCUAUUGAUUGGUUUUUUUUUGUAAUAUUCAUUUUUUUAAAUGGUGAGUUCCAAAUUCUCUCCUUCCCUCCUGCCCCUCCCCGAUCCACUGAGAUCAAAAGCAAUAUGAUAUCAAUUAUACGUGUGAAGCCAUGCAAAACAUAUUUCCAUAUUAGCCAUGUUGGAGGAAUAAAAGAAAUGCAAGAGAAAAAAGUGGAAAAAGU